RNAcentral lists this long non-coding RNA (340 nucleotides) under Homo sapiens (human). Its description in RNAcentral is "non-protein coding lnc-NCOA4-5:1". Lineage: Eukaryota; Metazoa; Chordata; Mammalia; Primates; Hominidae. The record is from RNAcentral.
AUCAAAGUAGAGAUAGUGAAAUAGCCUAAAUGCAGCAGUCGAAUAAACGAGUUGAUAAAUUUUUAUCAAUGAUUACAUCUUUUUUUCUUUUCUUCCUCUAUGCAUAUAGCUUUGGAGUUUAACCCUUCUGCCAAUCCAGAGGCAAGCACAAUAUUCCAGAGGAACUCUCAAACAGAUGUUGUAGAAAUAAGAAGAAGCAACUGUACAAACCAUGUAAGUAAACACUCAAAUAGUUAAGAAAUUGAUAGUUUGACAUAAAAGGAUGUCUCUCUUGAUUUCUUUAAAUUACAAUGUGGACCUGGUGGUGGUAGCAUGGACCUCUUUUUGUGGAUUUUCUAAA